Molecule: long non-coding RNA, 1064 nt
Filed under: Homo sapiens (human)
Lineage: Eukaryota; Metazoa; Chordata; Mammalia; Primates; Hominidae
Description: HSALNT0174045
Source: RNAcentral
GCUGCUGUGGAAAUCUAAGCAAGUGGAGGGAUAUCCAGAUUGAGCUGGCCAAGUUUGGUACAAGAGCUAAGAGUCUGGGAACAAUGGGAGGUCAGCUUUCUGUGUCACUGUGGAUACAAAGGAAGUACUUUUGAGACACAGACAGGAAGUGACUGAGGACUUUAAGGGCAGCUUGGGCUAUCCAGGAAAGUUCUUCAUUCUUGUUUUUUUCUGCUGAGGCUCUAGAGGGACACCUGUCAGACUGACCAAGGCCGAAGAUGGCUCCCUACCAGAGAGAUUCAACUGAGGGCUUGCGAUAGGUCUUGUGACAUUGCUAUUGAUCUUGAGACAUUCAUCUGAAGCAUGAUUGUCACUGGCUUCAAACUUUCCUCAUCAUAAGAGAGGGACUGGGUCUACUUCAAAUGUUUCGCACUAAUGAAGUUAACAUUCCCUUUCAUGGUGAGCUCUGCCCUCAUCAUGAGACCAUGCCCAGGCUAGUCUGCUGGAAGGAAGUCAGAGGCACACGGAAGAGAGCCACAUUCAGCCAAGGCCAUUCUAGACCAGUUGUUCCCUGUCACUUCACUAAUUGGCCACAGCACAAGGUACACGGAUGGAGCUGGAAGCCAUUAUCCUCAGCAAACUAAUGUAGGAACAGAAAACCAAAUAUUGCAUGUUCUUACUUAUAAGUGGGAGCUGAACAACGAGAACACAUGGACACAGGGAGGGAAACAACACACACUGGGGCCUGUCCAGCAGUAAGGUUGAGGCAGGGAAAGCAUUAGGAAAAAUAGCUAUGCAUGCUGGGCUGAAUACUGGGUGAUGGAUUGAUAGGUGCAGCAAACCACCAUGGCAUAUGUUUACCUUUGUAAGAAACCAGCACAUCCUGCACAUGUACCCUGGAACUUAAAAUAAAAAUUAAAAUGUUUUUUAAAAAAGUCAUGAUGUUUUCUCAGCAGCCCAGUUUACUUUUCCAGACCCCUCUGGCAUGUGUUACUCCAGAAAAAGGCCGGUGUGUGUGAAACCCAGGCCACUGUGACACUGUAUAAUGAGAGGGACAGGCAGGGAGGAGGGAGAAGGUUGCUCCA